RNAcentral lists this transfer RNA (81 nucleotides) under Micromonosporaceae bacterium. Its description in RNAcentral is "tRNA-Leu". It matches the Rfam family "tRNA". Rfam says of the family: Transfer RNA (tRNA) molecules are approximately 80 nucleotides in length. Their secondary structure includes four short double-helical elements and three loops (D, anti-codon, and T loops). Lineage: Bacteria; Bacillati; Actinomycetota; Actinomycetes; Micromonosporales; Micromonosporaceae. The record is from RNAcentral.
GCGGGAGUGGCGGAAUGGCAGACGCGCGGCGCUUAGGACGCCGUGUCUUCGGACGUAGGGGUUCAAGUCCCCUCUCCCGCA